This 96-nucleotide small nucleolar RNA is filed under the name Chlorocebus sabaeus (green monkey). RNAcentral's name for it is "Small nucleolar RNA U13". It matches the Rfam family "Small nucleolar RNA U13". The record is from Rfam by way of RNAcentral. Lineage: Eukaryota; Metazoa; Chordata; Mammalia; Primates; Cercopithecidae.
AUCCUUUUGUAGUUCAUAAACAGGAUGAUUGGGUUUUCACAUUUAUUGUGAGAGGUGCUUUCCUCCAACCUUGUUAUGAUGUUGAUCCAUCUGAUG